UACGAAGGGGGCUAGCGUUGUUCGGCAUUACUGGGCGUAAAGCGCACGCAGGCGGAUUUAUAAGUCAGGGGUGAAAUCCCGGGGCUCAACCUCGGAAUUGCCUUUGAUACUGUCUAUCUUGAGUCCGGGAGAGGUGAGUGGAAUUCCUAGUGUAGAGGUGAAAUUCGUAGAUAUUAGGAAGAACACCAGUGGCGAAGGCGGCUCACUGGCCCGGUACUGGCGCUCAUGUGCGAAAGCGGGGGGAGCAAACAGG
This 253-nucleotide ribosomal RNA is filed under the name uncultured bacterium. Its description in RNAcentral is "partial 16S ribosomal RNA". It matches the Rfam family "Bacterial small subunit ribosomal RNA", at positions 524 to 776 of the family's 1533-position model. The record is from RNAcentral.